CAGGGAGACAACAAAAUGUUUAAUAUUAUUAUUUUGUCACCUUAGGUCGAUCGGUAUCUCACAUUCUUGAUUUAUUAAGGAUUUUAUUUCCUAAGUUUUUUCUAGGUCACACCCAUUACUUUUCCUGGGCCAUUAGCUCAGGUGGUUAGAGCGCACCCCUGAUAAGGGUGAGGUCCCUGGUUCAAGUCCAGGAUGGCCCAUAUCUCUAUGUUGGGGGUAUAGCUCAGUUGGUAGAGCGCCUGCUUUGCAAGCAGGAUGUCAGCGGUUCGAGUCCGCUUACCUCCACUGAUUACCACCUCUUCCAUAAUUUUCAUUAAGGAAAUGUAUUGAGUAGUGAUCAAAUUCUGAACGAAUCUAGCUUCCUAAUGAAAUCAUUAAGAUGCUGGACUCAUUGAAUUAAAUUCAUUGUUUUCAGAGAACCUUGACAACUGCAUAGAUUAUUUUUAAAGACAAUAAGCAUCUUUAUGAUGCAGAUUUAUUAUUUGUGCAAAUGCAUUAAUAACAAUUCUAUUAAGCUGAUGCUUCAAUUAUGAAGUUAUU
Molecule: transfer RNA, 540 nt
Filed under: uncultured Prochlorococcus sp.
Lineage: Bacteria; Bacillati; Cyanobacteriota; Cyanophyceae; Synechococcales; Prochlorococcaceae
Description: partial 16S-23S ribosomal RNA intergenic spacer
Rfam family: tRNA (bases 213-285)
Source: RNAcentral